GGGAAGGUGGCUCAGUGGUAGAGUGCUUGCCUUGCAAGCAUGAGGCCCUGGGUUCGAUUCCUCAGCUCCACCA
This 73-nucleotide transfer RNA is filed under the name Dipodomys ordii (Ord's kangaroo rat). It matches the Rfam family "tRNA". From Rfam's summary of the family: Transfer RNA (tRNA) molecules are approximately 80 nucleotides in length. Their secondary structure includes four short double-helical elements and three loops (D, anti-codon, and T loops). Lineage: Eukaryota; Metazoa; Chordata; Mammalia; Rodentia; Heteromyidae. The record is from Rfam by way of RNAcentral.